This 223-nucleotide long non-coding RNA is filed under the name Lathyrus oleraceus (garden pea). Its description in RNAcentral is "Pisum sativum (pea) long non-coding RNA (PSAT_LNC008123)". The record is from RNAcentral. Lineage: Eukaryota; Viridiplantae; Streptophyta; Magnoliopsida; Fabales; Fabaceae.
UGAUAUGGGUGUUUAGGGUAUAAGGAUAGAGAGGUUUCUUUAUCCUCUUUCUCUCUUCUUUUUUAUUUUUCCUACUUUGAUAAAAUUGUUGAAUCUAGAGAUGGUUUGUGCAAAACCUCUCUUGAUUGCAGUGAUGUGUUAUGAAAUUCUUAGACCACAGAGAGCUAACGGGGGUCAGCAGGAUGAUGGCCAGACUGUCUUGGACCACAUGGAUAGUUUCUUU